AGCAGUAGCCGCGGUAAUACGAAGGGGGCUAGCGUUGUUCGGAUUUACUGGGCGUAAAGCGCACGUAGGCGGAUCGAUCAGUCAGGGGUGAAAUCCCAGAGCUCAACUCUGGAACUGCCUUUGAUACUGUCGAUCUGGAGUAUGGAAGAGGUGAGUGGAAUUCCGAGUGUAGAGGUGUAAUUCGUAGAUAUUCGGAGGAACACCAGUGGCGAAGGCGGCUCACUGGUCCAUUACUGACGCUGAGGUGCGAAAGCGUGGGGAGCAAACAGGAUUAGAUACCCCUGUAGUCCCUGUCUCUUAUAC
RNAcentral lists this ribosomal RNA (303 nucleotides) under uncultured bacterium. Its description in RNAcentral is "partial 16S ribosomal RNA". It matches the Rfam family "Bacterial small subunit ribosomal RNA", at positions 507 to 807 of the family's 1533-position model. The record is from RNAcentral.